UGGGGAAUAUUGGACAAUGGGCGAAAGCCUGAUCCAGCCAUGCCGCGUGAGUGAUGAAGGCCCUAGGGUUGUAAAGCUCUUUUGUGCGGGAAGAUAAUGACGGUACCGCAAGAAUAAGCCCCGGCUAACUUCGUGCCAGCAGCCGCGGUAAUACGAAGGGGGCUAGCGUUGCUCGGAAUCACUGGGCGUAAAAGGUGCGUAGGCGGGUUUCUAAGUCAGAGGUGAAAGCCGGGAGCUCAACUCCAGAACUGCCUUUGAUACUGGAAGUCUUGAGUUCGGGAGGGGUGAGUGGAACUGCGGGUGUAGAGGUGAAAUUCGUAGAUAUUCGCAAGAAGACCAGUGUCGAAGGCGGCUCACUGGCCCGAUACUGACGCUGAGGCACGAAAGCGUGGGGAGCAAAC
RNAcentral lists this ribosomal RNA (401 nucleotides) under uncultured bacterium. RNAcentral's name for it is "bacterial SSU rRNA". It matches the Rfam family "Bacterial small subunit ribosomal RNA", at positions 355 to 773 of the family's 1533-position model. The record is from RNAcentral.